UGCACUAACAGAAAUUCUUUUUCCCUUUCCCUCAGUAUUCUUGUACCUAAUUUUCCUCAUUCACUCCCAUAAUGAUGAUUUUAGUACCUUAUGCUCUCUAGGGAAGUUGUGCUUUGACCACCCUUUUCUCCUGGCCAACAUUCUCUUUUUCCUUAAUGUUAAUGUUCUUUUCUGGCUUAUUCGCCUCGUGCAGUCUAAGCACAGUCUAAGCAUCAGGAAAACUUUACUUUUAUCCCAUCUGAUGUUGGAUAUGCACUGGUCAGGGAUACCAGUUUUGUCAGUGCGCUGCAAAUCAACUCAUCCAUUAACAGAAGAUUACUAGUUUAAUAUUUGGAGAUCAAGAAUUGUGAUACUUUUGACAUGGGUUUGGAGUAAUAGCUUCUCUGACAGCUACUUAUGCCACGAAAAUUGGCAAUUGGGUCUUAGAGAGGACGGGAGAUUUAAUCAGAUGCAGCGUGCAGUAUGACAAACACUGGUUAUGGAUUGCAGCAUGCAGUAUGACAAACACUGGUUAUGGAUUGCAGCAUGCAGUAUGACAAACACUGAUUGUGGAUUUUUUCUUUGCCAUUUACCUAUCUCAACAGGUCCUUUUGGUGUGCGGUCAAAUCAAAGAGAGAGCAACUUAAUAUAUGCGACUCAGCUGCAAUAGCCGUAUGUUUGGCUGGUGAAAUCUUUGCUUAUCAUGCCAACAAACAACUCCGUGAUUUUGUCAGUAGAAAUAACAAACUAAAAGAACUUGGCAAAGGAGUGGUGCUCAUACUUGAAGGUUUGUGGCAAUACUCGCAACAUCCCAACCAUGUUGGGAGCAGUUGUGGUGGAGACUAUUCAUUUUUGCAGGGAACCUGGGUUAUGGCUAGAGCUGUUAAAUCGAACGAGUAGCUCGAAAACUCGAUUGAGUUCGACUCGAUAAGGCUCGAGCUCGACUCGUUAAUUGUGGUAAACGAAUCGAGAUCGAGCUCGAGACAUACUUGUUUAAUAACAAGCCGAGUAAGCUCGACUUGUUUGUUAUCCGAGUAACUCGAUUAGGUUUGAUAAGGGAAGGUAUAUAUGUCAUUUCACAAUUAAAAAGUAUAAAAAUUGAAAAUUAUAGACUUUUAUUGGGGUCAAUUUGCACGAGCUCGAUAAAUGAGUUGAGCUCGAGCACUCGAGCUUGAGCCACAUGUCCCAUUUGAUGAGCCGGGUCCGAACACAUUUCAAAGCUCAUCCG
Coffea eugenioides is the source of this 1207-nucleotide long non-coding RNA. RefSeq lists it as uncharacterized. The transcript has 3 exons. Lineage: Eukaryota; Viridiplantae; Streptophyta; Magnoliopsida; Gentianales; Rubiaceae. The record is from RefSeq and is a predicted model, not a curated record.